CCUACGGGAGGCUGCAGUGGGGAAUAUUGCACAAUGGGGGAAACCCUGAUGCAGCGACGCCGCGUGAGUGAAGAAGUAUUUCGGUAUGUAAAGCUCUAUCAGCAGGGAAGAAAAUGACGGUACCUGACUAAGAAGCCCCGGCUAACUACGUGGCAGCAGCCGCGGUAAUACGUAGGGGGCAAGCGUUAUCCGGAUUUACUGGGUGUAAAGGGAGCGUAGACGGCAGUGCAAGUCUGAAGUGAAAGCCCGAGGCUCAACCACGGGACUGCUUUGGACACUGUAAAACUAGAGUGCAGGAGAGGUAAGUGGAAUUCCUAGUGUAGCGGUGAAAUGCGUAGAUAUUAGGAGGAACACCAGUGGCGAAGGCGGCUUACUGGACUGUAACUGACGUUGAGGCUCGAAGGCGUGGGGAGCAAACAGGAUUAGAUACCCGGGUAGUC
Molecule: ribosomal RNA, 440 nt
Filed under: uncultured bacterium
Lineage: Bacteria
Description: partial 16S ribosomal RNA
Rfam family: Bacterial small subunit ribosomal RNA
Source: RNAcentral